RNAcentral lists this long non-coding RNA (1302 nucleotides) under Monodelphis domestica (gray short-tailed opossum). Its description in RNAcentral is "lncRNA (ENSMODG00000045436.1)". Lineage: Eukaryota; Metazoa; Chordata; Mammalia; Didelphimorphia; Didelphidae. The record is from RNAcentral.
GCCCAACCACCAGCCCCGUCCCUCCUAUUGCAAAUGAAGUGUUCCUAGUCACCUUUGGAGAGGUUUCUAUCAGCAUUUUAGAUAGAAUUUCUCUUUAAAGCUCUAUGUCCUGGUUUUGUUAGUAAUGCAUGAAAAUGUCAAGGAUUCAUGGAAUUUUUAUCCUUGGUUACUUUUUGGAAUGUAAUUGUAUCCGUUACCUUUGAAUCCAUUGGCUCAGGUUCUCUAAGUAAAUCAUCCACUGCAAACUCCUUGAGGUAGGGACUGGUUUUUUUUUUUUCUCUCAUCAGUAACCUCAUCACUUAGCACAGAGCCUAGUAUACAGUAGGUAUACCCUGCUUAGUCUUUAGAAUUCUAGCAACCAGGAAUGCAUACACCCCCGCUUAAGGAUUAACUGUGAGAAGCAUGGCCUAUGACUGGCAUUUGCUAGCAAGUGACAAAUCAGGAACAACUGACUGACCCCCUGGGCUGUCCAAAGCCAAGAUUAAGGCACCAUUAGUACAUGUGAGACACAGGAAGUGACAUAAAGAAAGGCCUUUAUAUUUUGUGUCACUUCCUGUGAGAGGGGCUUUUGUGGACUUUGGUGGUGGAACGUGGCUUGAUGGAGCUCUAGCAUGGGACCUCCAUCUUCUUCCCUGAACAACCAUGUGAACAUGAACCCCUCCAUUCAGCUUUAAUUGCAUGGAGAUUUAAUUUGGCCUUGCUGCUUUGAAGUCCAUAUCAAGCACUGAAAAAAAGGGCUAUUGUGACUGUUGGCAAGGUCUCAGGAAAAAAAAAAAAAUCCGGUGGCUCCUGCGCUGACGAAUUUCUGAACUUCCACCUCCAGAAGACAGUUGACAGACUGACAUUUUGUAUUGCUGAAUCUGUUAAGCUAUCCAGAUUUAAAUACAGCAGUAAGCCGGAGGAGCAACAUGACAAUGGUGGUCCACACUGCUUAUAUGAUUUGCACUUUUGGCGGUGGAGAGAUGGCUGGUGGCAGCUUGCUGAGCAUGCUAAGUGUUCCAGCAUCUUGGUGUGGUGGAAGCUAUUGUCUGGUUUGACAGUGAGUUUUCCUUGAUACUUUACUGGGAGAAGUUGAAUAGCCUAGUUCAGGUGAGACAUCUUAACUGAGCUCUCUUUGAGUUUAGGCUGAUUCUUUCUCCUUUACCUUCCAAACACUAUCCUCUUAGAAAGCCACUAAUUUUCAGAGACCUUAUGGCAGAGGACUUUGAACUCCCCCUGGCACAGGCCAUGCAGGAGAACUCCUAUACCCUUUCCCUUUCUCUUCUCCUUGAUCUUUUCUCUCUAUAUUGAUUAAACCACCAU